RNAcentral lists this transfer-messenger RNA (354 nucleotides) under Candidatus Cloacimonadota bacterium. It matches the Rfam family "transfer-messenger RNA". From Rfam's summary of the family: Bacterial tmRNA, also known as 10Sa RNA or SsrA, is named for its dual tRNA and mRNA-like properties. Its role is to liberate the mRNA from a stalled ribosome. To accomplish this part of the tmRNA is used as a reading frame that ends in a translation stop signal. RNAcentral also lists the same sequence under 2 other names. The record is from RNAcentral. Lineage: Bacteria; Pseudomonadati; Candidatus Cloacimonadota.
GGGGGUGAAAUGGUUUCGACAGGGAAUCAGUGUGGUAGAGAGGCACGUCGGAGAUGCUAUCUUCUCCGUUAUCAAGUAGCAAAAUGCAAAUUAACUGCAAACGAUAACUUACUCUUAGCUGCCUAAGUGCAGCUAACGUUCAACCCUUCCGUGCCAUCGGGAAGGGCUUGGGCGUCGCGACAGUAUGGCUGCUCGCGUUUUGACUGCUAAUAUUAACGCGCUAAGACUAUUGGCUUGGCUCUUACGGGUCUGAUUGUCUUUUACCGUAAGCGCCGAAAUUAAAGACAACUAAGCGUGUAGAAUUUCUAUGGUGCUGUUCUUUGGACGCGGGUUCGAUCCCCGCCACCUCCACCA